CAGACAUUGUGACAGGAAAUGCAGGUGGAACUAAGCUAACAGCAGGCACAGCUGGAGCUACUGGAAUCUGUAGCAUAGUGACCGGUUGUGUGUAAGCUUCCGUCUGCGUUGUAAUCACUGUGCUCUUAUCAACUGCAGUACUCUGCGUAGUUUGAAUAUUUUCUUUAGCAGGUUCUGAGCUCCUCGCUGUUUCCCAUUCUGUAUUUACUGUCUCCUGGUCAAUCAUGCCACCCUCAGCAAAGCCCUCCAAAUCAUCCAAUUUUACCUUCUCCCAAGGAAUAUAUGAAACUCCCAGA
RNAcentral lists this long non-coding RNA (296 nucleotides) under Gallus gallus (chicken). Lineage: Eukaryota; Metazoa; Chordata; Aves; Galliformes; Phasianidae. The record is from RNAcentral.